This is a non-coding RNA of Pelobates cultripes (western spadefoot toad), 236 nucleotides long. NCBI's taxonomy places the organism in Eukaryota, Metazoa, Chordata, Amphibia, Anura, Pelobatidae. The record is from the annotation of a GenBank genome assembly.
CACUUACCGCUUGGUCCUGAGGCUCCCACCAGUUCCAGGUAAUUUCCUUUUUAAGCAGGUGUAAGAGUGGUUUCGUUAUUUCUGCAUAGUUAUCUAUAAACUUACGGGAGUAGUUAGUCAUACCAAGGAAUGAUCUUAAUUCCCUGAUGUUUGAAGGUGUUUUAGCCUUAAUUACAGCUUCAACCUUCUUCCUCUGGGGAUUUAAUCCUUCAGAAGUUACCUCAUGUCCGAGGAAG